GCAGUCGAGCGAUUUACUUCGGUAAAGAGCGGCGGACGGGUGAGUAACGCGUGGGUAACCUGCCCUAUACACACGGAUAACAUACCGAACGGUAUGCUAAUACGAGAUGACAUAAGAGAUUCGCAUGGAUUUCUUAUCAAAGCUUUUGCGGUAUAGGAUGGACCCGCGUCUGAUUAGCUAGUUGGUAAGGUAACGGCUUACCAAGGCGACGAUCAGUAGCCGACCUGAGAGGGUGAUCGGCCACAUUGGAACUGAGACACGGUCCAAACUCCUACGGGAGGCAGCAGUGGGGAAUAUUGCACAAUGGGCGAAAGCCUGAUGCAGCAACGCCGCGUGAGCGAUGAAGGCCUUCGGGUCGUAAAGCUCUGUCCUCAAGGAAGAUAAUGACGGUACUUGAGGAGGAAGCCCGGGCUAACUACGUGCCAGCAGCCGUGGUAAUACGUAGGGGGCUAGCGUUAUCCGGAAUUACUGGGCGUAAAGGGUGCGUAGGUGGUUUCUUAAGUCAGAGGUGAAAGGCUACGGCUCAACCGUAGUAAGCCUUUGAAACUGAGAAACUUGAGUGCGGGAGAGGAGAGUAGAAUUCCUAGUGUAGCGGUGAAAUGCGUAGAUAUUAGGAGGAAUACCAGUUGCGAAGGCGGCUCUCUGGACUGUAACUGACACUGAGGCACGAAAGCGUGGGGAGCAAACAGGAUUAGAUACCCUGGUAGUCCACGCCGUAAACGAUGAGUACUAGCUGUCGGAGGUUACCCCCUUCG
This 755-nucleotide ribosomal RNA is filed under the name uncultured bacterium. RNAcentral's name for it is "bacterial SSU rRNA". It matches the Rfam family "Bacterial small subunit ribosomal RNA", at positions 57 to 842 of the family's 1533-position model. The record is from RNAcentral.